This 4982-nucleotide long non-coding RNA is filed under the name Cucumis sativus (cucumber). RNAcentral's name for it is "long non-coding RNA (CSAT_LNC000367)". Lineage: Eukaryota; Viridiplantae; Streptophyta; Magnoliopsida; Cucurbitales; Cucurbitaceae. The record is from RNAcentral.
ACCAAAAAUCCUCUUCCACAAAAACAGAUAUCGUAUCGCCUUCUUCGUAAUCCUCUUCAUUCAACAUUCGAAACCCUAAAUUUCAUAAAGAUGGCAGCCACUUCUCGAUUGGCCAGGUUUAUCAGCGAAGCUUGCCCACCUCAAUUCGUCUCUGUCAUGAGGCGAAGAAGCCCCAGAGUUUUAGACACCAUUAACGAAGAAGACCAAAGAGAAGCCUUAGUUUCCUCUUCCUCCUUCAAGAUCGACAAAUUCUCUGUUCCUUCACCGCCAUCUCCCGAUUCUUCCGCUGCCGCCAUUAAUUCCAAAUACUUUCUCGAUCAGGUCCCUGUACCCCUGGGGCCUUUCUCCAUUUUCGAGCAUUGAGAAAUGGAUUUUUAGUUUCGAUGAGUACACUCAGAAUCCGUUUCUUUUUUCCUUUUUACCUUUUCUGCGCCCAUCGGGUCGGAUUCAUUCUGGCCGGAAAUGGCGUUGUAGAUAUGAAGUCGACGACGUAGUGGCUGACGCCGGUUAAGAGAUGGGUUUUUUCUUUGGUUUUUUUUUUUCUUUUUUUUUUUUGAUGGGGUUAGUGAAUUUCCGAAUGCGUUUGUAAUGUGUGAGUUUGAUGUUUAUAUAAAAUGAAAAAACUGCGCUGCCCUUCUAAUAAUUAACUUUUCAGCUAAUCCUCAAAAUCAUAAAUAACAAUAAUGAUCAAAUUAAAUUAAGUUUAUUUUUAUUAGGACAUUAACUUAUAAUAUAUAUUAGAAAAAUUGUUUUGAGAAUAUAGCAAAUAUAAUCCACCGUUUUGGAAUUUUGGAGCAAAAUUCACUUAUAAAAUUACUCUUCAAAUUUGUUGUUAUUCUUAAUAACUCAUUUAUCUUCUCAAACUAAUCUUCAAUUUAUUUUUCUUUAUUUUUUUCUCUUUUCCAAUUAUUUAUUUAUUUAUUUAUUCUCUCACUUUUAUUAUUAUUUAUUUAUUCUUAACUUUUUAAGACCUUAAUUAUAAAAAUAAUUUAUUUUUCAUGUCUUAAUGUUGAUUUUAGGUCUUAAUCAUGAUUUUAGAAUAUAGAUAAUACAAUAGAGUCAUUUACCUUCACCUUCAUUUGUGGUUUUUUCCUACUCGAUGUGUAAAAUUUUAUGUACUUAAUUAUAAUAUUAUUAAGUGUAUGAAUAAUAUAACUAAUUUUGUCAUAUUCGCAAUAUGACAAAAUACAACUAUUAGACGGUAAUCAUAAGGUUAGAAAAUGUACUAACAUUUGCCCUAUUAUCAUAUAUAUUUUUUUUUUUGCUAUUUUUGCUUUUUGCUAUUUUUGCAAGAGCCUCCAUUGUUAAUGCAUAUCAGUAAAGUUUGCAAAUGUAUAUAUAUUAGCAAAUGUAUAUAUAUCAUAAUAGUAUAUCAAGUGUAUAAGUAGAACUUCAAGCAUAUCAAAUAUAUUUAAUCAAUCAAAUGUAUAACUGAAGAAUACUAAAUGUAUGCAUCAGGCGUAUCAAACAUAUCAUGUACAUCAAACGUAUCAAAUUUGUUGAAUGUGCCAAUGAAGAAUAACAAGUUUAUUAGCAAUGUAUCAAAUGUAUCAAACUUAUAAAUGAAGUUUUAAGUCUAUCAAACUAAUCAAGUGUAUCAAGGUCUAAGGGGUAUCAAGUGUAUCAAGAAUAAUCAAGUGAAACGAAGAGUAUUAUGUAUAUCAAAGUAUUUCAGUUGUGUAUAAAAAAGUAUCGAGUGUAUUAAGGAGUAUAGGUGAUCAAGUAUAUCCAUCAAAUGUAUCAUGUGUAUCAAGAGGUAUUAGGUGUAUCAAAUGUAUCAGACGUGUACAAUGUGUAUCAAAUGUAUAUUAGUAAUGAAGCAUUUGUGAAAUUUUACAGAUGUGUUGGUUGGACUUUGAUUUUGUCAUUUUCACAAAUAAUAAAAUAUGUGUGUUAUGGAUUUAAUUAUUAUAACUUGUUUUGUCAUUUAUGCAAGUGUCCUUAUAUAUUAUAUAAUAAAAGAUAAUUUAUGUAUUAAUUUCUUACAAAUAUGGAUGAAUGUUAGAAGUUUUUUAAUAAGUAUUUUCCUUUUCUAAAUUAUAUCGAUUCUCAACCUAAGAUUGAUUGGGAUUUGAGAAAUUUUGUAUGAGUCUGAAUAAAAUUGAAACUAUAUUGCAAAAUUUUAUUUUUAUUUCUUUAAUACUUAGUUUAAUUCAUAUUUUGGUGUCUAAACUUUGCUCGUGAUUAUGGCGCAUUGUCAUCCUAGCUUAUACCCCACUUUUCUCAAUUCAUAUGCAUUUUUUAAGGGUUUGACAUAUUUUGUGAUUCGAAGUAAUAAAUAAAAGUUGAGAGUUUGGAAGAGAUCAUGUGAGAGGUUUAAGUUUUGGAGAGAAAUGGAAUAAAGUUUGGAGAGAUUUCAGUUAAAGUAUAUGUUCCGAAAGAGGACAAAAUACAAAGUUUAAGGAUCAAAAUAGGAUUUAAACCAAAAUGUUGUAAUAUUUGUCUGACGUGAAUAGUAAAAAUGAGACACAAAAGAUGAGCAUGAAAAUGAUAUAAACAAGUAUUCCCUAAAAACUUAAAUUAGUUAUAAGAGAAAGGUUGGCAAUCCCGACGUUGGUAUAAAGUAAUUUAAUAAAAAAAAAUACAAAACAUCUUCCAACACCGUUAUACAUAGCGUCGGGAGAAGUUUAUAAUUUUUUAAAAAAUAUAUUUAACUUCUCUCCCAACGCUAUUAUGCAUGGCGUCGGGAAAAGUUUAUAAUUUUUUAAAUAUAUUUAUAUUUAACUUUUUCCGACAUCGUUAUGCAUGACAUCAGAAAUUUUUUAUAUUUUUUAAAAAUAUAUUUAUAUUUAACUUCUCUUGACACCAUGCAUAAUGACGUUGGGAAUGCCCAACAUAUUUUCGACGUGUUUAAUCAUGCGUCGGACAUUCCCCUUUAAAUACCAUUUUCAGAUCUGUGUUAGUCAGAAAUGAGGAAAAGGGAGAUCGAAAAUGAGGGAGACGAAUGAAGGGUUUGAAGGCCAAAAGAGGAAGAAGAAGGUCCACCGCCGCUAGUCGUACACCGCCCGUUGCUUACGAUCGACGCUUGUGAGCUGUCAUCCAUCUCUCGCCAGUUAGUGUUUGUUUUUUUAAUUUUUUUUCUUUGUUUUGGUUUAAAUUUGAGAAAAAAAAUACUAAAUACAUAUGCUUUGUGAUUUUCAAGGCCUUCUCUUGUAUGUUUUUCUCCGUGUCAUCGUCCACUACUGCCCUUCUACCGUCGCCUUCGCCCACCCCUCGCUGGUAAGUCUUUAUUUAUAUAUAUAUAUAUAUGGUUUGAGGUUGAGAAAAAAUAUUAAACAUGUGUGUUACUGUUUUUGGGUUUCCUCUAACUUUUGCUAUUUUUCUAUCCAUUUUCUUUUAAUUUUCCAUUUAUUUUCAAUUCUGGGUUUCUUCUAGGUUGUAGUAUUUUUUUGAAAAAAUAGAGGAUCUCCCGACGCACGAAAUGUAGAGUUGAAAGAUCCUUGACAUCUCCUUAUGCUUAAAUAAGGCAUCGAGAGAUGUCAAAUGUAGCGUCGAGAGAUCCUCUUUCAACUUAUUUUUUUCGAGUUGAAUCCCAACACGAAUUUGGAAUUUGGAACUUUCUAAGAGUCGUUGUUUAAUGCAUUUAUUGUAUUACAUAGAAUUUGGUAGUUCUGCUGUUCUGGGCGUUUAUAUAUAUAAAUAAUAUACUCUUUAGAGGGUGUUGAGUGAUGAAUCCCCUUUUGGCCUUUUGUUCAUAUGAUUUUUUGAGUAAUAACAGUUUGGGAAAGAUAUACUUUCUUUGAGUCGUCACAGUUAAUGCCAAUCAUUGAAAAUUAUGGUAAAAUGAAAGUUAGGUCGCUCGAAAAUGGAGAUGGUAGGAUUAUUGCACUCCAAAUUUCUUAUCAAACAUGGCUUCCAAGACCCAACCCUCUACCUUCUGCUUCUUUCAUCGUUGCAAUUUCUUAAUUAUUUCUUCUUAACAUAACUUCCACCAUUCAAAACUAUACUUUUUUUAAAAAGCUUUCCAAAUAAAAUUUGGAGAAAAUUGUACCAACCUAUGAAUUAUAAUCGCACCAUUAACUUCCAAUUUGCUCCAUUUAUACCGAUUUCAGUUACUAAACCUUUAGAUACGUUAGAACAUUUAUAAAAUAUAACAAACUUUUAAAAUCUUAUAUUUUAAUGUCUACUAUUAAUAUAUUUUAAAUUUAUACUAUACUUUAUAAAUAUUGUGAUUGAUUUUGUUAUAUUUGAAACAUUCUUUUUAGUAACAUGCAUGAAUUUAACUAACAUAACCAUUGAAAAUAUUUACAAAUAUAACAAAAGAUAAAAGUGCUAUUUAUGUUUAUUAGAUAAAUAUAGAUAAUAGUUUCACGGUUUAUCGUAGAUGGAUGAUGAUUUAUUUUGCUAUAUUUGUAAAUGUUAUAUUUUUAUACAAUUAUUUACCAUAAAAUGUGUUUAUAAAUUAAUUAAUACUAUUUUAUAUUCAACCUAAUAUUAAUAUCUAAUUGUUUAAAUCCGAAGUUUUGUUAAUAAGGUUUUGAUAUUAUAUUAUUAUACAAGAAAAAAAGGACAAUUUUGUAACAUAGGAUUCUUUAUUAAUUUAUUUUUCUCUAAUUAUAUUAUUAGUGUGUAGUGUAUUGGAUAAAGUGCCUAAUUAGUUUUUUAAAAAAUCAAUAUAAAAAGUAAUUGAACAAAAGUCUUCCCAUGAUUAGCAGUUAAAUAUUUACUUAAUUAGUGUUGACUUGAAAAAUCUAUGUUGCAAUUCUAAAACAUCCUAUUAUUUUGGUUAUUAUAAUUAAUAUGAAUUAUUUAUGCUUUAAUUGUUCAAUUUGAAGAAUUAUCAAUUAUUUUAUCAAUAAUUCAGUCAUGUUUGCUCCAAUAUCUUUAAACUUCUUAAAAAAUUAAAGUUAAUUGGUGAGCAUGGACAUUAAUUUAUUAAAAUUUGAAUACCAAUAACUUAUAAUAUAACAACUCAUGAUUUAAUAAAAUAUAUAAAGCUACCAUUUCAACCAAAUUAAUAAAUUUAAAUCACUUUUUGUUUU